This 510-nucleotide ribosomal RNA is filed under the name uncultured bacterium. RNAcentral describes it as "partial 16S ribosomal RNA". It matches the Rfam family "Bacterial small subunit ribosomal RNA", at positions 28 to 507 of the family's 1533-position model. The record is from RNAcentral.
GACGAACGCUGGCGGCGUGCUUAACACAUGCAAGUCGAACGAAGAGCGAUGGAAGCUUGCUUCUAUCAAUCUUAGUGGCGAACGGGUGAGUAACGCGUAAUCAACCUGCCCUUCAGAGGGGGACAACAGUUGGAAACGACUGCUAAUACCGCAUACGAUCUAAUCUCGGCAUCGAGGAUAGAUGAAAGGUGGCCUCUACAUGUAAGCUAUCACUGAAGGAGGGGAUUGCGUCUGAUUAGCUAGUUGGAGGGGUAACGGCCCACCAAGGCGAUGAUCAGUAGCCGGUCUGAGAGGAUGAACGGCCACAUUGGGACUGAGACACGGCCCAGACUCCUACGGGAGGCAGCAGUGGGGAAUCUUCCGCAAUAGACGAAAGUCUGACGGAGCAACGCCGCGUGAGUGAUGACGGCCUUCGGGUUGUAAAGCUCUGUUAAUCGGGACGAAAGGCCUUCUUGCGAACAGUUAGAAGGAUUGACGGUACCGGAAGAGAAAGCCACGGCUAACUACGUG